GUGGCUAUAGCUCAGCUGGCAGAGCAUCGGAUUGUGGUUCCGAGUGUCGUGGGUUCGAGCCCCACUAGUCACCCCA
RNAcentral lists this transfer RNA (76 nucleotides) under Bacteroidaceae bacterium. RNAcentral describes it as "tRNA-His". It matches the Rfam family "tRNA". Rfam says of the family: Transfer RNA (tRNA) molecules are approximately 80 nucleotides in length. Their secondary structure includes four short double-helical elements and three loops (D, anti-codon, and T loops). Lineage: Bacteria; Pseudomonadati; Bacteroidota; Bacteroidia; Bacteroidales; Bacteroidaceae. The record is from RNAcentral.